This 97-nucleotide transfer RNA is filed under the name Chloroflexota bacterium. Its description in RNAcentral is "Chloroflexi bacterium tRNA-Sec". It matches the Rfam family "Selenocysteine transfer RNA". The record is from RNAcentral. Lineage: Bacteria; Bacillati; Chloroflexota.
GGGAGUGGAUGGUGUCCGGUGGUGCCCGCGGUCUUCAAAACCGUUGUGGGGCCGCGUCGCGGUCCUGGGUGGGUUCGACUCCCACGCACUCCCGCCA